UCGAGCGAACAGAAGGGAGCUUGCUCCCGGAUGUUAGCGGCGGACGGGUGAGUAACACGUGGGUAACCUGCCUGUAAGACUGGGAUAACUCCGGGAAACCGGAGCUAAUACCGGAUAGUUCCUUGAACCGCAUGGUUCAAGGAUGAAAGACGGUUUCGGCUGUCACUUACAGAUGGACCCGCGGCGCAUUAGCUAGUUGGUGGGGUAAUGGCUCACCAAGGCGACGAUGCGUAGCCGACCUGAGAGGGUGAUCGGCCACACUGGGACUGAGACACGGCCCAGACUCCUACGGGAGGCAGCAGUAGGGAAUCUUCCGCAAUGGACGAAAGUCUGACGGAGCAACGCCGCGUGAGUGAUGAAGGUUUUCGGAUCGUAAAGCUCUGUUGUUAGGGAAGAACAAGUGCGAGAGUAACUGCUCGCACCUUGACGGUACCUAACCAGAAAGCCACGGCUAACUACGUGCCAGCAGCCGCGGUAAUACGUAGGUGGCAAGCGUUGUCCGGAAUUAUUGGGCGUAAAGGGCUCGCAGGCGGUUUCUUAAGUCUGAUGUGAAAGCCCCCGGCUCAACCGGGGAGGGUCAUUGGAAACUGGGAAACUUGAGUGCAGAAGAGGAGAGUGGAAUUCCACGUGUAGCGGUGAAAUGCGUAGAGAUGUGGAGGAACACCAGUGGCGAAGGCGACUCUCUGGUCUGUAACUGACGCUGAGGAGCGAAAGCGUGGGGAGCGAACAGGAUUAGAUACCCUGGUAGUCACGCCGUAA
This 759-nucleotide ribosomal RNA is filed under the name Bacillus sp. ARC270. RNAcentral's name for it is "bacterial SSU rRNA". It matches the Rfam family "Bacterial small subunit ribosomal RNA", at positions 62 to 805 of the family's 1533-position model. The record is from RNAcentral. Lineage: Bacteria; Bacillati; Bacillota; Bacilli; Caryophanales; Bacillaceae.